RNAcentral lists this unclassified non-coding RNA (274 nucleotides) under uncultured Rozellomycota. RNAcentral describes it as "uncultured Cryptomycota sequence contains ITS2". Lineage: Eukaryota; Fungi; Rozellomycota. The record is from RNAcentral.
ACCCGAUCUACUCUAGAUAGAGUGAGGUAUUGGCUUUAGGACGCGUAAGCGAUCUUUAGCUGGAAUGUAUUAAGGCUGAUGAGUUCCCAAUGGUGGCCUCAAUGUGUGCUAGCGGACAGAUGUUUCGAUGUCACAUUGGCGGUUCCAAUGCAAGCUCUAUAAACGGCCUCCUGCUGGUUCUGUUGUGUGUGGGGGAGGAGGGGACGGCGACAUGGUCAAACAUGCUGUCAUCAUCACCAUCAUCAUCACAUGACAUGAUCCAUCAUCAUAUCUA